This is a non-coding RNA of Morchella snyderi, 72 nucleotides long. Lineage: Eukaryota; Fungi; Ascomycota; Pezizomycetes; Pezizales; Morchellaceae. The record is from the annotation of a GenBank genome assembly.
GACUCCGUGGCGCAACGGUAGCGCGUUCGACUCCAGAUCGAAAGGCUGCGUGUUCAAAUCACGUCGGGGUCA